UUACGGCCAGAUCACGUUGAAACACAGAUUCCCGUAAGAUCAUCGAACUUAAGCAGCGUCGAGCCUGGUAAGUACCUUGAAGGGUGACUACUUAGGAAUACAAGCGGCUGUAAG
This is a non-coding RNA of Acanthosepion pharaonis, 114 nucleotides long. NCBI's taxonomy places the organism in Eukaryota, Metazoa, Mollusca, Cephalopoda, Sepiida, Sepiidae. The record is from the annotation of a GenBank genome assembly.